This 301-nucleotide ribosomal RNA is filed under the name uncultured bacterium. RNAcentral describes it as "partial 16S ribosomal RNA". It matches the Rfam family "Bacterial small subunit ribosomal RNA", at positions 509 to 807 of the family's 1533-position model. The record is from RNAcentral.
CAGUAGCCACGGGAAUACGGAGGGAGCUAGCGUUGUUCGGAAUUACUGGGCGUAAAGCGUGCGCAGGCGGUCUGUCAAGUCAGAUGUGAAAUCCCCGGGCUUAACCUGGGAACUGCAUUUGAAACUGGCAGGCUAGAGUCUUGUAGAGGGGGGUAGAAUUCCAGGUGUAGCGGUGAAAUGCGUAGAGAUCUGGAGGAAUACCGGUGGCGAAGGCGGCCCCCUGGACAAAGACUGACGCUCAGGUGCGAAAGCGUGGGGAGCAAACAGGAUUAGAUACCCGAGUAGUCCCUGUCUCUUAUAC